AACGGCCAUACCAUGCUGAACAUGCCGGUUCUCGUUAGAUCACCGAAGUCAAGCAUCAUUGGGCGCGGUCAGUACUUGGGAGGGUGACCACCUGGGAACACCGCGUGCCGUU
Molecule: ribosomal RNA, 112 nt
Filed under: Caerostris extrusa
Lineage: Eukaryota; Metazoa; Arthropoda; Arachnida; Araneae; Araneidae
Source: RNAcentral